Long non-coding RNA from Triticum aestivum (bread wheat), 1214 nucleotides. RefSeq lists it as uncharacterized. The transcript has 6 exons. The record is from RefSeq and is a predicted model, not a curated record. Lineage: Eukaryota; Viridiplantae; Streptophyta; Magnoliopsida; Poales; Poaceae.
CCUCCCCUCGCUCGCUCUCUCCCUCACAAACCCCUCUCUGUCUUGCAACCUCUCCCUCCCCCCCAUGAACCUCUCUCCCUCGCCGCCACCCACCACCCACAUCGGCCAGUUCCGUCGAGCUUCGGCGGCGCGUAUCACACCCCCGAGCUCCCCUAUGUCCGCACCUCCUUCCCCUCCGGCUAGAAUCAGCGCUCAAGCCGUCCACCAGCCCCCGUGGUAGCUAGGGUUUCGGCCGCCACCCCUUACCUGGCCGGGAUCCGCCACAUCCGGCGACGUCGAGGCCAGCGGGCGCCGGAUCCGUCACCGGCGUGCUCAGAAGCAGGACAGGCACAGAUGGAGGAACACCGUCUUCAUACCCUGCCCCGACGCCAAAGGUGAUUGCGUCAAAGAUAUGGAGGCGUUCAGGAAGCGGGCGGGCAAGUUCAAGGAGCAAGUUGCCAAGCAGCAGCAGAUAAUAUAUUUGAGUACGCGGAUGCCGGAGGGGUCGUGCCUGAGGAGACCGAGCUCGCCAUGCUGCUCCUUUUCAAUGCCAACAAGGGAAGGGCCGACGAGGAGAACAGGGUCCCUACACCAAGAAGUUAGGUUUCCCUGGCUGCUCGGUAGUUCUCGGACAGCUCCCUAAUUUUCCUUGGUCUUGUAGGUAACUGGCGCAACAGCUGUAACUUGAGACGCUGGACUGGAGGAAGGAUCAUGAGGAGAACAACUACACAAUGUUGUGGAUGAACAGGAUGAUGGGAGGGUGAAUCAGAUCUAGGAGCACAUCGACUACGAGGUUUGCCGACACGACAAGUACCGUAUAUGUGUCUACUCAUCCAACCUGUUGUUCUCGCAGAUUUUCACCUAGGGCAUUUGCAUCCCCAUGAUUAGGCGUGAUUGUCAGGUCCUUAAAUGGAGAACAUUCUUCUGAUCGUAAUGGAGAUGCAGGUGGAUGAUGAUUAUUCAUCUGUGUGAAGGACGAAAUGCUUCUCGGAAUUCUUAAAGAGGAAGACAAUGGAGCCAUGAUGUUGUUGUGCAACAGGCUAUGUUUUUUGCAAUACCAUUUGUCUUGGCUGUGUAUCUUACUUUGUGUGUGCUGGGAUACUCAAAAAGCUAUCUCUGUAAUUUAAAUCUGUGUUAUGUUGUCUGGCGUGUGUAACCUUAUUUUGUGUGUGCUGGGAUACUCAAAAAGAUAUCUGUCUAAUUUAAAUCUGUGUUAUGUUGUCUGGCGUGUGUAA